This 253-nucleotide ribosomal RNA is filed under the name uncultured bacterium. RNAcentral describes it as "partial 16S ribosomal RNA". It matches the Rfam family "Bacterial small subunit ribosomal RNA", at positions 524 to 776 of the family's 1533-position model. The record is from RNAcentral.
UACGUAGGGGGCAAGCGUUGUCCGGAUUUAUUGGGCGUAAAGAGCGUGUAGGCGGCCUGACAGGUCUGCUGUGAAAACUCGAGGCUCAACCUCGAGAUGUCGGCGGAAACCGUCUGGCUAGAGUCCGGAAGAGGAGAGUGGAAUUCCUGGUGUAGCGGUGAAAUGCGCAGAUAUCAGGAAGAACACCUAUGGCGAAGGCAGCUCUCUGGGACGGCACUGACGCUGAGGAGCGAAAGCGUGGGGAGCGAACAGG